CCCGCCUCUAACCCUUCUACAAGAAGAGCGUUGCUCAAGGCCUGCCUUUUUGGGGAGCCGUCCUCCUCCUAGGGCCCAUCACUGGGCUCCCAAGGGCGGCAGAGCUUUUGUUUCAGCUCUGUCACUUAAAGGCAGGGUAACCUACGCAUGCCACCUAAAUCCCGCGCUACAGUUUUCCUAGUCUAUAUCAUUACUAAUAAUAGCCACCUUGUCGCCUCUUGACUGUUCGGAGGAUCAAAUGAGCUGAGGGCGGAAAUGGCAGCUUGCCGAAGUGGGUUUUCUUCGGGGUCUUACAACUCACCAACAAGGGAGCAAACCCUCCUGCGUUGACGAGCUCCUUGUUGGAGCCCCUCCCUCAUCCCAGUGUUGGACCUCCACCUGCUGACACCACGAGCUUAGGGCCGGACUGACCCCAAGGCUUGCCACUACCGGCCUCAAGCCCCACGAUUCCAAAGGCAUGGAAUACUACUCUAUUAAUAGAAAUGGAAAAUGAUGUUUUUGAAUUCACUCCUCAAAAUACAUUCACAGCUAUCUCAAAGGCCCUGGGACCAAGACGGAUGGAAGGAUUUCCCCCCAUUUCAAAGCAGACUGCGCUGAGCAAGGAGCAGCCUCUCCAGAAGGAAUAUCAGCUUCUGUCCCAACUUCACAUCCUGUAACAAUUAUGGAGUGUCAUCAACAAUUUUAAACAUUGUCCCAGUCGCAUGUGUAAUUCUGGACCUACUGGUCCUUAGUGUAAAU
This is a long non-coding RNA of Mesoplodon densirostris (Blainville's beaked whale), 738 nucleotides long. RefSeq lists it as uncharacterized. The record is from RefSeq and is a predicted model, not a curated record. NCBI's taxonomy places the organism in Eukaryota, Metazoa, Chordata, Mammalia, Artiodactyla, Ziphiidae. The transcript has 3 exons.